GAUGAACGCUGGCGGCGUGCUUAACACAUGCAAGUCGAACGGAAAGGCCGAAGCUUGCUUCGGUGCUCGAGUGGCGAACGGGUGAGUAACACGUGGGUGAUCUGCCCUGUACUUCGGGAUAAGCUUGGGAAACUGGGUCUAAUACCGGAUAUGACGAUCUCUUGGAUGGGGUUGUGGAGAGCUUUUGCGGUAUGGGAUGAGCUCGCGGCCUAUCAGCUUGUUGGUGGGGUGAUGGCCUACCAAGGCGUCGACGGGUAGCCGGCCUGAGAGGGUGUACGGCCACAUUGGGACUGAGAUACGGCCCAGACUCCUACGGGAGGCAGCAGUGGGGAAUAUUGCACAAUGGGCGCAAGCCUGAUGCAGCGACGCGGCGUGGGGGAUGACGGCCUUCGGGUUGUAAACUCCUUUCGCAAUCGACGAAGCCUUUUGGUGACGGUAGGUUGAGAAGAAGCACCGGCUAACUACGUG
Molecule: ribosomal RNA, 468 nt
Filed under: uncultured bacterium
Lineage: Bacteria
Description: partial 16S ribosomal RNA
Rfam family: Bacterial small subunit ribosomal RNA
Source: RNAcentral